UUUUUUUUCAUUAGAGUAGGUAGAAAAAAAAAUUGGGCCCCCCAAUAUUGGACAGCCGGCCGCCCCAUGCUCAAUUUUCAACUAUUCUCCCAAACCCAGCUCAAAUAUUCUCCCAAACCCAGCUUUAGUUUUAGGCUUUAUCACCUUAUGUACUUCAAAUAAAACAAGCUGGCCCGCUCAAGUCCAAACACUAAAAGUAAAACUUCACUUUCUCUUCAUCUCAAAAAAUCCAUCCACUGACCCACGAAAUCCCUUUCUUUACUUCUUAUUCUUUUGUUUUGUCUUCUUUGAUACACUUUCAUUUGCACUGGUACCGUUGCCCACCUAUCAGCCCCCAAAACUCCAGCUCUCUGUACUCACAGUCCGAAAAAAAAAAAAAAAAAAUCUUGACCAAUUUUUUCUUUCUUCAUCAGCUUUAGUUUUGGAACUUGGUGACUGAUUUUAGAGAAAUACAUGAUUGAAGGCAUGGGGAGAUUGUUUGUGAUGGGUCUUGAAGGGAAGAUCUAAAGUUGGAGGCAGUCAGGCAGAGGCAAUAGGCAUUGCCACAUGGGUGACCCAUCUUUGCACUUUGUGAAGACAAAGUUUCUAAGGAGGGACAAUCAUGGCACGGGGAUUGAGGUCCCUAUUAAGGUGGAAAAAAGGAUGCAUAUUUAUUACAUUUGGAACAAAGGGUUUGGUAACAGAUUUAAUGUGUUGGGUGACGACAAUCAUGGCACUCCGAAUGGCUUAACGCAAUGACCCAGAAAUCAAGAAGGCAUGUGACACAUACAGUGAUCAUUUUGGACAGUUCAUCAAACUGAUAUUCUAUGGCAUCCAAAAGGCAUCAUGAUUAUGCAUGAACAGCAAAACAGUCUCUUAUUAAUUUGUCGUUGAACUUGGGAUUAUUACUACAAAUUUUCAACUUGAGUCAAAGGGAUGUCCUAAUUAUUGCAUUGGAGAUCUUAAACCGAAAUUUCAAAUUGUAUUUAGGAGCAGUAC
Long non-coding RNA from Quercus robur (English oak), 978 nucleotides. RefSeq lists it as uncharacterized. The record is from RefSeq and is a predicted model, not a curated record. Lineage: Eukaryota; Viridiplantae; Streptophyta; Magnoliopsida; Fagales; Fagaceae. The transcript is spliced from 3 exons.